This 487-nucleotide ribosomal RNA is filed under the name uncultured bacterium. Its description in RNAcentral is "partial 16S ribosomal RNA". It matches the Rfam family "Bacterial small subunit ribosomal RNA", at positions 30 to 507 of the family's 1533-position model. The record is from RNAcentral.
AUUGAACGCUGGCGGCAUGCCUUACACAUGCAAGUCGAACGGCAGCACGGGUGCUUGCACCUGGUGGCGAGUGGCGAUCGGGUGAGUAAUACAUCGGAACAUGUCCUGUAGUGGGGGAUAGCCCGGCGAAAGCCGGAUUAAUACCGCAUACGAUCUACGGAUGUAAGCGGGGGACCUUCGGGCCUCGCGCUAUCGGGUUGGCCGAUGGCUGAUUAGCUAGUUGGUGGGGUAAAGGCCUACCAAGGCGACGAUCAGUAGCUGGUCUGAGAGGACGACCAGCCACACUGGGACUGAGACACGGCCCAGACUCCUACGGGAGGCAGCAGUGGGGAAUUUUGGACAAUGGGCGAAAGCCUGAUCCAGCAAUGCCGCGUGUGUGAAGAAGGCCUUCGGGUUGUAAAGCACUUUUGUCCGGAAAGAAAUCCUUGGCCCUAAUACGGUCGGGGGGAUGACGGUACCGGAAGAAUAAGCACCGGCUAACUACGUG